RNAcentral lists this long non-coding RNA (612 nucleotides) under Heterocephalus glaber (naked mole-rat). Its description in RNAcentral is "lncRNA (ENSHGLG00000044992.1)". The record is from RNAcentral. Lineage: Eukaryota; Metazoa; Chordata; Mammalia; Rodentia; Bathyergidae.
UCUCAAGAAUGGAUCCAAAAAACCAUCCAGUGCCUAAGUAGCAGAAGCCAUUCUCUGUCCCGGCUGUGACAAUGGAGCCGGGGCUGGGGCCUGGCUGCUACAGUGCCCGCCCGGUGUGCAGGAGACCCCAUUCCAUCCCCAGCCCCACAAGAAGAGUAGGUAAACAGGCCAUGUGGACACCCAACUGUUCUCUGCUCCCUCUUCCCUUCUGAGGCUGUUGCUAGCACUCCUUAGAAGAAAGCUGCUUCCUGCUGCUUCCUGUAAGCGCAUCAGUCAGCCUCUCAAUCGACAGAAUCAUCCUACACGGAAAUGCUGCGUUGAGAACGCACAGUGCUCCAGUCUCCAGCUCUGCCUUGCGACACAGUCCAAGCGAUGUCACUUCUCCCUGACCCACAGGGCCCUGUCCUCCCUUCCCAGCUUCGCGGGCUAUUUCUGAAUCUUCUGGUUCUGUAUCAAAAUUUCUGCUUCCUCCUAGACAUCCACCUCCAGGAAGGCUCUGACACUUGGUCCGACGCCCUGCUGGCAGACAGUUGUACAGGGAUGGGGAUGAUGGUGGUGUGAAAUGAACCGGCCCUGAGGCUACCAGGGACCAUUUGUCAAUGUCAGUUCUCC